Mastomys coucha (southern multimammate mouse) is the source of this 702-nucleotide long non-coding RNA. RefSeq lists it as uncharacterized. Lineage: Eukaryota; Metazoa; Chordata; Mammalia; Rodentia; Muridae. The record is from RefSeq and is a predicted model, not a curated record. The transcript has 2 exons.
UUUCUGGAAUAAACUGAAACCAUGGGAAGAAUGUAAGGAGCCUCAGAGGAUGACUGGGGAGAAGGGGCCUUCAGCAACUAAUAUGGAAACAUAAACCAGAGAGUGAUGCAUUCCUCUGCCUACCACCAGAUGCUCCAAUGGAAGCAUCAUUCGCAGGGAGGAUGCUUGGAAUUACGAACGAGAUCAAGAAGCAGAUGGAAAGCACCCAUGUGCUCCACGUCCUGCUGACUGCUUUUAAAGCAAGUAAAAGUUCAUCUGCUCCUUCAUGUGUUGAUUAAUAAACAGUGAUCACUCGAAACAACUAUGAUGCAGCUUUGGAAAAGCACUGUUUAAAAUGACUGGGUGAUUGGUCUCAUUCAAGGCUGACAAACAGAUUUUCAUGGAAACAUCAACCCUAACACAGUGUAUAGGAAAAUAUCAGUAGUAAACAUCCCAGAGGUAUGGUGUGAUGUGAAAUCAAUCCAACUAGUAAGUCUACUUCAUGUUCAGGAAACUGUAUUGAAUACUGUUAGUAGGUGUAUGUGAUGGUUAAUCUCAAUCACCAACAUACUGAGAUUUAAAAUCAACACAGAAACAAAUCUCUGGGAAUGGAUGUGAGAAGUUACACAGAGUGGAUUACUGAAGGUAGGAAGACCCGCCCUUCAUAUGGAUGCUCCCUGACCCUGGGCUGGAACCUCAGAAUGAAUAAAAAUGAAAAAGCAA